RNAcentral lists this ribosomal RNA (463 nucleotides) under uncultured bacterium. Its description in RNAcentral is "bacterial SSU rRNA". It matches the Rfam family "Bacterial small subunit ribosomal RNA", at positions 331 to 792 of the family's 1533-position model. The record is from RNAcentral.
CCAGACUCCUACGGGAGGCAGCAGUGAGGAAUAUUGGUCAAUGGCCGGAAGGCUGAACCAGCCAAGCCGCGUGAAGGACGAAGGUGCCAAGCAUUGUAAACUUCUUUUGUCAAGGGACAAAAUCAGGCUCGAGAGCCUGACCGAGGGUACUUGAAGAAAAAGCAUCGGCUAACUCCGUGCCAGCAGCCGCGGUAAUACGGAGGAUGCGAGCGUUAUCCGGAUUUAUUGGGUUUAAAGGGUGCGUAGGCGGACUGUUAAGUCAGCGGUAAAAGCCCGGGGCUCAACCCCGUACUGCCGUUGAAACUGCAUCCCUUGAGUGCGCGAGAAGUAUGCGGAAUGCGUGGUGUAGCGGUGAAAUGCAUAGAUAUCACGCAGAACCCCGAUUGCGAAGGCAGCUUACUAAACUGUGACUGACAUUGAUGCUCGAAAGUGUGGGUAUCAAACAGGAUUAGAUACCCGUGUA